ACCCUACACAUCGAUUAGCUAACGAUGACAAUGUUGGCAGUAUCCAUCAAAAGGAUGAUGGUAGACCGAGCCAAUCUUUUGUGGACCAUCUUGUUGAGACUAGUUGCAUAAAGUUGAUUCAUCUCAAAAGGACGAAACUUCUGAUUUAUCCAUUUUCAAUAUUGUAGUCAAAUAAAUGAAGAAAAAAAUUUAAUGGCAGCUUCAGGUAUUUUACUUCACUUUCUUUGAAAUAUUUGUCCAUGUGCAAUAGAUAAUGUCACGGU
Molecule: long non-coding RNA, 263 nt
Filed under: Elaeis guineensis (African oil palm)
Lineage: Eukaryota; Viridiplantae; Streptophyta; Magnoliopsida; Arecales; Arecaceae
Description: long non-coding RNA (EGUI_LNC022845)
Source: RNAcentral